This 502-nucleotide long non-coding RNA is filed under the name Takifugu rubripes (torafugu). RNAcentral's name for it is "lncRNA (ENSTRUG00000027438.1)". Lineage: Eukaryota; Metazoa; Chordata; Actinopteri; Tetraodontiformes; Tetraodontidae. The record is from RNAcentral.
UCUGGGGUUUGUGGACUUCUUUUUGUGCGCUAAAACCCAAAAAAACUGGGCUUUAAAUGUGUGGAUGUUUAAGAAAGCAAAAAACAAAAACACAUUUGAUAAGAAUAUAAGAAAUCCGGGAGGAGAGUGAGAUCAUUUGCUGCUGGCUUGAAAAUAUCGGGGAAAUUUCCUUUGAGAGACGACCUGCGCACGGAGGCAUCUCCCCCUACCAAGGCAUACCAGCAUCAUCACCCAGAGCAUAAAGCCAACAUCUCUCACACCAGUAAUGAGCUAAAGGCUGCCUGCUCAGAGGAGAGAGGGAACGAGCACACAGAGAAGAGGGAAAAACACGGAGAGCUUGGCAGUGUCGAGAAAAGGCCUUGACGAAUGUCUGCAACAAUCUAAAUCAAUGAAUUAGGAAGAGCAUCCUGCAACAUUCUGUUCAGAAAACUCAGACAUCGACUCAGUGGGAGCAGAGCUCCACUGGGAGAAGGGCAGCAGUAGAGAGCAGAUCCUCGGGCAC